AAGGUAGCGUGAUAAUUCGCCCUUUAAUUGUGGGCUUGAACGAAUGGAUUAACGAGGGUCUAGCUGUCUCUAUUUUACUAGUAGAAAUUGAUUUUCAGGUGAAAAAACCUGAAUGUUUGUGUGUGACAAAAAGACCCCAUAGAGCUCAGUCUAAAUUAUAGUGAGUGGGGAAUUAAUUGUAAUUGUUAAAUUUUUUACUUAAUUUAAUAUGACUUAACUGGGGCGGUUGAGGAAGAGGAAAAUCUUCUUUUAAAUUAAAAACUAAUGGGUUGAUUAGAAGAAUAGAUCCUUUAUAAGAUCAAGAGAAAAGCUACCUUGGGGAUAACAGACUAAUUUUUUUUGAGAGUUCGUAUUGACAGAAAAGUUUGGCACAUCGAUGUUGGCUUAGGAUAUCCUAAAGGUAGUAGCAGUCUUUAAUGGUGGGUUUGUUCAACCUUUAAAAUCCUACAUGAUC
This 454-nucleotide ribosomal RNA is filed under the name Pavelius sp. EP B. Its description in RNAcentral is "partial large subunit ribosomal RNA". It matches the Rfam family "Bacterial large subunit ribosomal RNA", at positions 1953 to 2605 of the family's 2925-position model. The record is from RNAcentral. Lineage: Eukaryota; Metazoa; Annelida; Polychaeta; Terebellida; Ampharetidae.